RNAcentral lists this ribosomal RNA (2926 nucleotides) under Escherichia coli. RNAcentral describes it as "bacterial LSU rRNA". It matches the Rfam family "Bacterial large subunit ribosomal RNA". Lineage: Bacteria; Pseudomonadati; Pseudomonadota; Gammaproteobacteria; Enterobacterales; Enterobacteriaceae. The record is from RNAcentral.
GGGUUGUGAGGUUAAGCGACUAAGCGUACACGGUGGAUGCCCUGGCAGUCAGAGGCGAUGAAGGACGUGCUAAUCUGCGAUAAGCGUCGGUAAGGUGAUAUGAACCGUUAUAACCGGCGAUUUCCGAAUGGGGAAACCCAGUGUGAUUCGUCACACUAUCAUUAACUGAAUCCAUAGGUUAAUGAGGCGAACCGGGGGAACUGAAACAUCUAAGUACCCCGAGGAAAAGAAAUCAACCGAGAUUCCCCCAGUAGCGGCGAGCGAACGGGGAGGAGCCCAGAGCCUGAAUCAGUGUGUGUGUUAGUGGAAGCGUCUGGAAAGGCGCGCGAUACAGGGUGACAGCCCCGUACACAAAAAUGCACAUGCUGUGAGCUCGAUGAGUAGGGCGGGACACGUGGUAUCCUGUCUGAAUAUGGGGGGACCAUCCUCCAAGGCUAAAUACUCCUGACUGACCGAUAGUGAACCAGUACCGUGAGGGAAAGGCGAAAAGAACCCCGGCGAGGGGAGUGAAAAAGAACCUGAAACCGUGUACGUACAAGCAGUGGGAGCCUCUUUAUGGGGUGACUGCGUACCUUUUGUAUAAUGGGUCAGCGACUUAUAUUCUGUAGCAAGGUUAACCGAAUAGGGGAGCCGAAGGGAAACCGAGUCUUAACUGGGCGUUAAGUUGCAGGGUAUAGACCCGAAACCCGGUGAUCUAGCCAUGGGCAGGUUGAAGGUUGGGUAACACUAACUGGAGGACCGAACCGACUAAUGUUGAAAAAUUAGCGGAUGACUUGUGGCUGGGGGUGAAAGGCCAAUCAAACCGGGAGAUAGCUGGUUCUCCCCGAAAGCUAUUUAGGUAGCGCCUCGUGAAUUCAUCUCCGGGGGUAGAGCACUGUUUCGGCAAGGGGGUCAUCCCGACUUACCAACCCGAUGCAAACUGCGAAUACCGGAGAAUGUUAUCACGGGAGACACACGGCGGGUGCUAACGUCCGUCGUGAAGAGGGAAACAACCCAGACCGCCAGCUAAGGUCCCAAAGUCAUGGUUAAGUGGGAAACGAUGUGGGAAGGCCCAGACAGCCAGGAUGUUGGCUUAGAAGCAGCCAUCAUUUAAAGAAAGCGUAAUAGCUCACUGGUCGAGUCGGCCUGCGCGGAAGAUGUAACGGGGCUAAACCAUGCACCGAAGCUGCGGCAGCGACGCUUAUGCGUUGUUGGGUAGGGGAGCGUUCUGUAAGCCUGCGAAGGUGUACUGUGAGGUAUGCUGGAGGUAUCAGAAGUGCGAAUGCUGACAUAAGUAACGAUAAAGCGGGUGAAAAGCCCGCUCGCCGGAAGACCAAGGGUUCCUGUCCAACGUUAAUCGGGGCAGGGUGAGUCGACCCCUAAGGCGAGGCCGAAAGGCGUAGUCGAUGGGAAACAGGUUAAUAUUCCUGUACUUGGUGUUACUGCGAAGGGGGGACGGAGAAGGCUAUGUUGGCCGGGCGACGGUUGUCCCGGUUUAAGCGUGUAGGCUGGUUUUCCAGGCAAAUCCGGAAAACUAAGGCUGAGGCGUGAUGACGAGGCACUACGGUGCUGAAGCAACAAAUGCCCUGCUUCCAGGAAAAGCCUCUAAGCAUCAGGUAACAUCAAAUCGUACCCCAAACCGACACAGGUGGUCAGGUAGAGAAUACCAAGGCGCUUGAGAGAACUCGGGUGAAGGAACUAGGCAAAAUGGUGCCGUAACUUCGGGAGAAGGCACGCUGAUAUGUAGGUGAAGUCCCUCGCGGAUGGAGCUGAAAUCAGUCGAAGAUACCAGCUGGCUGCAACUGUUUAUUAAAAACACAGCACUGUGCAAACACGAAAGUGGACGUAUACGGUGUGACGCCUGCCCGGUGCCGGAAGGUUAAUUGAUGGGGUUAGCGGUAACGCGAAGCUCUUGAUCGAAGCCCCGGUAAACGGCGGCCGUAACUAUAACGGUCCUAAGGUAGCGAAAUUCCUUGUCGGGUAAGUUCCGACCUGCACGAAUGGCGUAAUGAUGGCCAGGCUGUCUCCACCCGAGACUCAGUGAAAUUGAACUCGCUGUGAAGAUGCAGUGUACCCGCGGCAAGACGGAAAGACCCCGUGAACCUUUACUAUAGCUUGACACUGAACAUUGAGCCUUGAUGUGUAGGAUAGGUGGGAGGCUUUGAAGUGUGGACGCCAGUCUGCAUGGAGCCGACCUUGAAAUACCACCCUUUAAUGUUUGAUGUUCUAACGUUGGCCCCUGAUCGGGGUUGCGGACAGUGUCUGGUGGGUAGUUUGACUGGGGCGGUCUCCUCCUAAAGAGUAACGGAGGAGCACGAAGGUUGGCUAAUCCUGGUCGGACAUCAGGAGGUUAGUGCAAUGGCAUAAGCCAGCUUGACUGCGAGCGUGACGGCGCGAGCAGGUGCGAAAGCAGGUCAUAGUGAUCCGGUGGUUCUGAAUGGAAGGGCCAUCGCUCAACGGAUAAAAGGUACUCCGGGGAUAACAGGCUGAUACCGCCCAAGAGUUCAUAUCGACGGCGGUGUUUGGCACCUCGAUGUCGGCUCAUCACAUCCUGGGGCUGAAGUAGGUCCCAAGGGUAUGGCUGUUCGCCAUUUAAAGUGGUACGCGAGCUGGGUUUAGAACGUCGUGAGACAGUUCGGUCCCUAUCUGCCGUGGGCGCUGGAGAACUGAGGGGGGCUGCUCCUAGUACGAGAGGACCGGAGUGGACGCAUCACUGGUGUUCGGGUUGUCAUGCCAAUGGCACUGCCCGGUAGCUAAAUGCGGAAGAGAUAAGUGCUGAAAGCAUCUAAGCACGAAACUUGCCCCGAGAUGAGUUCUCCCUGACUCCUUGAGAGUCCUGAAGGAACGUUGAAGACGACGACGUUGAUAGGCCGGGUGUGUAAGCGCAGCGAUGCGUUGAGCUAACCGGUACUAAUGAACCGUGAGGCUUAACCUUACAACGCCGAAG